GUCUACGGCCAUACCACCCUGAACAUGCCCGAUCCUGUCUGAUCUCGGAAGCUAGGCAUUGUCGGGCCUGGUUAGUACUUGGAUGGGAGACCACCUAAGAAGACCAGGUGCUGUAGGCA
This 119-nucleotide ribosomal RNA is filed under the name Pteropus alecto (black flying fox). The record is from RNAcentral. Lineage: Eukaryota; Metazoa; Chordata; Mammalia; Chiroptera; Pteropodidae.